Molecule: ribosomal RNA, 510 nt
Filed under: uncultured bacterium
Lineage: Bacteria
Description: partial 16S ribosomal RNA
Rfam family: Bacterial small subunit ribosomal RNA
Source: RNAcentral
GACGAACGCUGGCGGCGUGCUUAACACAUGCAAGUCGAACGAAGAGCGAUGGAAGCUUGCUUCUAUCAAUCUUAGUGGCGAACGGGUGAGUAACGCGUAAUCAACCUGCCCUUCAGAGGGGGACAACAGUUGGAAACGACUGCUAAUACCGCAUACGAUCCAAUCUCGGCAUCGAGGAUGGAUGAAAGGUGGCCUCUAUUUAUAAGCUAUCACUGAAGGAGGGGAUUGCGUCUGAUUAGCUAGUUGGAGGGGUAACGGCCCACCAAGGCGAUGAUCAGUAGCCGGUAUGAGAGGAUGAACGGCCACAUUGGGACUGAGACACGGCCCAGACUCCUACGGGAGGCAGCAGUGGGGAAUCUUCCGCAAUGGACGAAAGUCUGACGGAGCAACGCCGCGUGAGUGAUGACGGCCUUCGGGUUGUAAAGCUCUGUUAAUCGGGACGAAAGGUCCUCUUGCGAAUAGUUAGAGGAAUUGACGGUACCGGAAUAGAAAGCCACGGCUAACUACGUG